UGGGGAAUAUUGGACAAUGGGCGCAAGCCUGAUCCAGCCAUGCCGCGUGAGUGAUGAAGGGCCCUAGGGUUGUAAAGCUCUUUCACCGGUGAAGAUAAUGACGGUAACCGGAGAAGAAGCCCCGGCUAACUUCGUGCCAGCAGCCGCGGUAAUACGAAGGGGGCUUAGCGUUGUUCGGAUUUACUGGGCGUAAAGCGCACGUAGGCGGACUUUUAAGUCAGGGGUGAAAUCCCGGGGGCUCAACCCCGGAACUGCCUUUGAUACUGGAAGUCUUGAGUAUGGUAGAGGUGAGUGGAAUUCCGAGUGUAGAGGUGAAAUUCGUAGAUAUUCGGAGGAACACCAGUGGGCGAAGGCGGCUCACUGGACCAUUACUGACGCUGAGGUGCGAAAGCGUGUGGAGCAAACAGG
This 408-nucleotide ribosomal RNA is filed under the name uncultured bacterium. RNAcentral describes it as "partial 16S ribosomal RNA". It matches the Rfam family "Bacterial small subunit ribosomal RNA", at positions 355 to 776 of the family's 1533-position model. The record is from RNAcentral.